CUACGGGACGCUCCAGUGAGGAAUAUUGCACAAUGGGGGGAACCCUGAUGCAGCAACGCCGCGUGGAGGAUGACGCAUUUCGGUGUGUAAACUCCUUUUAUAUGUCAAGAAAAUGACGGUAGCAUAUGAAUAAGCGCCGGCUAACUCCGUGCCAGCAGCCGCGGUAAUACGGAGGGCGCAAGCGUUACUCGGAAUCACUGGGUGUAAAGGACGCGUAGGCGGGUUGGAAAGUCAGGUGUGAAAUCCUACAGCUUAACUGUAGAACUGCACUUGAAACUUCUAAUCUAGAGUAUGGGAGGGGGAGAUGGAAUUAGUGGUGUAGGGGUAAAGUCCGUAGAUAUCACUAGGAAUACCUAAAGCGAAGGCGAUCUCCUGGAACAUUACUGACGCUAAGGCGUGAAAGCGUGGGGAGCAAACAGGAUUAGAUACCCCCGUAGUC
This 439-nucleotide ribosomal RNA is filed under the name uncultured bacterium. Its description in RNAcentral is "partial 16S ribosomal RNA". It matches the Rfam family "Bacterial small subunit ribosomal RNA", at positions 339 to 795 of the family's 1533-position model. The record is from RNAcentral.